UACGUAGGUGGCAAGCGUUGUCCGGAAUUAUUGGGCGUAAAGCGCGCGCAGGUGGUUCUUAAGUCUGAUGUGAAAGCCCACGGCUCAACCGUGGAGGGUCAUUGGAAACUGGGGAACUUGAGUGCAGAAGAGGAAAGUGGAAUUCCAAGUGUAGCGGUGAAAUGCGUAGAGAUUGGAGGAAUCACCGGUGGCGAAGGCGGCCUGCUGGGCUAUGGCUGACACUGAGGCGCGACAGCGUGGGAGCAACAGG
This 250-nucleotide ribosomal RNA is filed under the name uncultured bacterium. RNAcentral describes it as "partial 16S ribosomal RNA". It matches the Rfam family "Bacterial small subunit ribosomal RNA", at positions 524 to 776 of the family's 1533-position model. The record is from RNAcentral.